RNAcentral lists this transfer RNA (355 nucleotides) under uncultured Microcystis sp. RNAcentral describes it as "partial 16S-23S ribosomal RNA intergenic spacer". The stretch from base 133 to 206 matches the Rfam family "tRNA". Lineage: Bacteria; Bacillati; Cyanobacteriota; Cyanophyceae; Chroococcales; Microcystaceae. The record is from RNAcentral.
AAGGGAGACCUAAUUCGGGUAUAAGACGAAAAAAGAGUAGUCGAAACCAAGAAUCAAUCCCAAAAGGUCGGAACGAGGUAUGUGGCUUUCAAACUAGGUUCUGGGUUCACACAGGACCUGAAUCAGGAACAAGGGCUAUUAGCUCAGGUGGUUAGAGCGCACCCCUGAUAAGGGUGAGGUCCCUGGUUCGAGUCCAGGAUGGCCCACCUGCACAGGUGGCAAAAACAAAGAAGCGAGGAAUCAGCACCUUAUCUUAUCUAUAUAUAAGAGAGAAUGCUGGCUCUGAGUAAAGAGUCCAGAGGAACCUUGAAAACUGCAUAGAGCUAGGUGAAAAAGCCAAAAAAGAAGACCGCAA